UACGAAGGGGGCUAGCGUUGUUCGGAUUUACUGGGCGUAAAGCGCACGUAGGCGGAUUUUUAAGUCAGAGGUGAAAUCCCAAGGCUCAACCUUGGAACUGCCUUUGAUACUGGAAGUCUCGAGUCCGGGAGAGGUGAGUGGAACUGCGAGUGUAGAGGUGAAAUUCGUAGAUAUUCGCAAGAACACCAGUGGCGAAGGCGGCUCACUGGCCCGGUACUGACGCUGAGGUGCGAAAGCGUGGGGAGCAAACAGGAUUAGAUACCCCCGUAGUCC
Molecule: ribosomal RNA, 273 nt
Filed under: uncultured bacterium
Lineage: Bacteria
Description: partial 16S ribosomal RNA
Rfam family: Bacterial small subunit ribosomal RNA
Source: RNAcentral